GGCCUCGUAGCUCAGUUGGCUAGAGCGUUGGCUGUAGUGAAGCCCUCACCUUGCUGGCAUGGGUUCGAAUCCCACCAAGGCCA
RNAcentral lists this transfer RNA (83 nucleotides) under Schistocephalus solidus. It matches the Rfam family "tRNA". From Rfam's summary of the family: Transfer RNA (tRNA) molecules are approximately 80 nucleotides in length. Their secondary structure includes four short double-helical elements and three loops (D, anti-codon, and T loops). Lineage: Eukaryota; Metazoa; Platyhelminthes; Cestoda; Diphyllobothriidea; Diphyllobothriidae. The record is from Rfam by way of RNAcentral.